UGGAAUAGUGUGCUGUGCAUCAGGGU
RNAcentral lists this non-coding RNA (26 nucleotides) under Homo sapiens (human). Lineage: Eukaryota; Metazoa; Chordata; Mammalia; Primates; Hominidae. The record is from RNAcentral.